RNAcentral lists this ribosomal RNA (388 nucleotides) under uncultured bacterium. RNAcentral describes it as "bacterial SSU rRNA". It matches the Rfam family "Bacterial small subunit ribosomal RNA", at positions 32 to 416 of the family's 1533-position model. The record is from RNAcentral.
AAUCAACGCUGGCGGCGUGCCUAACACAUGCAAGUCGAACGCGAAAAGGGCUUCGGCUCUGAGUAGAGUGGCGUCCGGGUGAGUAACGCGUGGGUAAUCUACCUUUGGGUGGGGAAUAACUAGUCGAAAGGCUAGCUAAUACCGCAUAACGCAAUUUUCUAUUAGGGAAUUGUUAAAGCAGUAAUGUGCCUAAAGAUGAGCCUGCGUCUGAUUAGUUUGUUGGUAGGGUAAUGGCCUACCAAGACUACUAUCAGUAGCUGGUCUGAGAGGACGGCCAGCCACAAUGGCACUGAAACACGGGCCAUACUCCUACGGGAGGCAGCAGUGGGGAAUUUUGCGCAAUGAGCGAAAGACUUGACGCAGCAACGCCGCGUGAAGGAUGAAAUCC